Molecule: transfer RNA, 71 nt
Filed under: Callyspongia plicifera (azure vase sponge)
Lineage: Eukaryota; Metazoa; Porifera; Demospongiae; Haplosclerida; Callyspongiidae
Description: tRNA-Met
Rfam family: tRNA
About the family: Transfer RNA (tRNA) molecules are approximately 80 nucleotides in length. Their secondary structure includes four short double-helical elements and three loops (D, anti-codon, and T loops).
Source: RNAcentral
UGUAGAGUAGACUAAAGGUUAGUUACCAGACUCAUUAUCUGGGGAUGUGGGUUCGAGUCCUGCCUCUACCU